Molecule: ribosomal RNA, 253 nt
Filed under: uncultured bacterium
Lineage: Bacteria
Description: partial 16S ribosomal RNA
Rfam family: Bacterial small subunit ribosomal RNA
Source: RNAcentral
UACGAAGGGGGCUAGCGUUGUUCGGAAUUACUGGGCGUAAAGCGCACGUAGGCGGAUAUUUAAGUCAGGGGUGAAAUCCCGGGGCUCAACCCCGGAACUGCCUUUGAUACUGGGUAUCUUGAGUGUGGUAGAGGUGAGUGGAAUUCCAGGUGUAGCGGUGAAAUGCGUAGAUAUCUGGAGGAACACCGGUGGCGAAGGCGACAUCCUGGACCGGUAUUGACGCUGAGGCGCGAAAGCCAGGGGAGCAAACGGG